Molecule: long non-coding RNA, 661 nt
Organism: Empidonax traillii (willow flycatcher)
Lineage: Eukaryota; Metazoa; Chordata; Aves; Passeriformes; Tyrannidae
Exons: 3
Source: RefSeq, a predicted model, not a curated record
ACCUUGCUGCUGUACCCCGGCCCGUGCGUGGACGGGCGGGAGCGGGCAGCGGAUCCUGGGUGCCCAGAGCGGCACCCACCGCUCGCGGGCCGAGGUGAGAAGGCACGGGCACCGUGGCAUUGCUCGUGCGGGAUUUCCCUUUCCCGUCGCGCCAGUUAGCUCAUGUCAUGGUAAUCCAGAAGCUGCUCCAGAGGCCCUAAAGGGUUCCCAGCCAAGCCUGGGGUCACUGGCAUGUAAAAGGAUCCCAGCUCCAAAGGUUCAGGGGAGUGGGCAGGGCGUACAGAUUCCACAUCUCUGAGUCAAAGAUGUUUAAGGCUGUCUGGGAGAAGGAAAUGAGUUCAUCUUCUCAAGAUCAUCACUCCCUAUUGCAAGUUCUCUAAUAUAAUCCAGUAAUACAAAAAAAUCCUAAGGCUAACAAAACUUCUUACCAAAGCCACAGCUGGAGGGAGAGGUGAACUAGUGAGACCCAUCCUGCUUAAAAAACAAAAGUGGAGCAGAACAUGCUUUUUGUGGAGGCUGCUUGCAUACAUUAAAUAACUUGCAAUAGGCAAAAGAAAGUUUUGCCUCAGGCACCUGUCUGGAAGUUAUUAGAGUCCCACAGAAACUGCCUAUUGGAUGCAGAAGACCCUUUUCACUUCUUUGCUUUUUGUGUAAAGAAGAA